Molecule: ribosomal RNA, 478 nt
Filed under: uncultured bacterium
Lineage: Bacteria
Description: partial 16S ribosomal RNA
Rfam family: Bacterial small subunit ribosomal RNA
Source: RNAcentral
GACGAACGCUGGCGGCGUGCUUAACACAUGCAAGUCGAACGGUAAGGCCCUUCGGGGUACACGAGUGGCGAACGGGUGAGUAACACGUGGGUGAUCUGCCCUGCACUUCGGGAUAAGCCUGGGAAACUGGGUCUAAUACCGGAUAGGACUCCUGGCUCCAUGGUGGGGGGUGGAAAGCUUUUGGGGUGUGGGAUGGGCCCGCGGCCUAUCAGCUUGUUGGUGGGGUAAUGGCCUACCAAGGCGACGACGGGUAGCCGGCCGGAGGGGGUGAACGGUCCCGCUGGGACUGAGAUACGGCCCAGAGUGCUACGGGAGGCAGCAGUUGGGAAUAUUGUACAAUGGGCGCAAGCCUGAUGCAGCGACGCCGCGUGAGGGAUGACGGCCUUCGGGUUGUAAACCUCUUUCAGCUAUGCCGAAGCGCAAGUGACGGUAGUAGCAGAAGAAGGACCGGCCAACUACGUGCCAGCCGCCGCCGUAA